CAUUUGCAACAGAAUUAUGGUUUCUGUUGGAAAGCAAUCCUUCAGAAUUAAAAGGGAAUUCGGUGCUUGAUUGUAUUUUUAGAUCAAUAGUCCGAAACUGUCCCCGCAACUGUAAGUCCAUUUUUAGAUUGAAAUGCACUAUCCUUGCCACUGUUAGCCUACCGGCUGAUGGGAAGGCCGCAACUUCAACGGACGAGUCAGGAGACCUGCCAUAGCUCAUAAUUAUUU
This 228-nucleotide non-coding RNA is filed under the name Marivirga tractuosa. Lineage: Bacteria; Pseudomonadati; Bacteroidota; Cytophagia; Cytophagales; Marivirgaceae. RNAcentral also lists the same sequence under 1 other name. The record is from RNAcentral.